Molecule: ribosomal RNA, 253 nt
Filed under: uncultured bacterium
Lineage: Bacteria
Description: partial 16S ribosomal RNA
Rfam family: Bacterial small subunit ribosomal RNA
Source: RNAcentral
UACGUAGGAGGCAAGCGUUGUCCGGAAUUACUGGGUGUAAAGCGCGUGUAGGCGGCAGGCCAAGUCUGUGGUGAAAUCGCUCGGCUCAACUUGGAGGGGUCCAUGGAAACUGGUCAGCUGGAGGACGGUAGAGGUGAGUGGAAUUCCCGGUGUAGUGGUGAAAUGCGUAGAGAUCGGGAGGAACACCCGUGGCGAAGGCGGCUCACUGGGCCGGUCCUGACGCUGAGACGCGAAGGCGUGGGGAGCGAACGGG